RNAcentral lists this long non-coding RNA (1048 nucleotides) under Anas platyrhynchos platyrhynchos (common mallard). RNAcentral describes it as "lncRNA (ENSAPLG00000020767.1)". The record is from RNAcentral. Lineage: Eukaryota; Metazoa; Chordata; Aves; Anseriformes; Anatidae.
GGAGUAGGCAAAUAGGGCUGUUGCUUCAGGAUUUCUUCGAGUUCAGAAAGUGGAGAGAAGCAAGCUAUUGAAAGAUUGAGAAGCAAGACGAGACAAUUGGAAGGAAGCGAAGCAGCUGUGAGAAAAAUGCACCCCGAAUCCAAACAUACAGUCCAUGAUCUUCAGCUUCAAGCUAAAGGAGGGAUUUGCAUGGUGGUGGGACUUUGGAAACCAUCAGCAGCUCCUUGUGGCACAGCGGAAACCGGGGGAUCUGAUCAGUGGGCAGGACGAGAGGGGUUUUGCCGACCCGGGCCGAGCAAAGACAAGCCUGCACCGAGCAGCAGGUGACUCGCAGGCGCGCUCGUCCCGCUGUCUGCGGCAGAGGGGCGGGCUGGGGCGCUGGGGUGGGGACACCAGGAGGGGUCCCCGCGCCGGAGCCAGGAUCCGCUGAUAGCCCCCGGGAGGGCAGAGGGAGGUGGAAGGGAGGGAGACAGGGAUAGCGCGGGGAGGGGCAGCCGCGGAGAGGCGCGGCGCAGGGGGCACCGGGCUCGCCGCCGGGCCUCGGAACACGAGAGAGCGGCACGGCCGGGACGGGCAGCCGGCCAUCGUCUGCCUGCAGCCGCAACCCAGCGAGCGACAGCAGCGGUAUCGACCGGACGUUUUCUCGCCACCGCUGGAGCUGCCUUUCCCCGGCGCCUGGCUGCCCGUCCGGCUGCGGCGGCCCCAUCGUGGCCGCAGUGGCUGGGGCCGGCUCAGCAUCCCCGGCGGGGAAGGGCGGCAGGCGGCGGCUCCCGCACGGGGAACCCUCUUGCAGGGGAGGGCACCGGGGGUGGACGGUAGGGCUGGAGAAGCGCAGGGGGAAUGUUCCCGCGGAGCAUCCGUGCCUCUCUCCCUACCCUGUCUAAACGAAGCGUUCCCCCCUCCCUCCUCCCCUUCCCUGCGCUUCUUGGCUCUCUGUAUGGAAAUCACGAGCUGGAUUGGUGGAGAAAAAUCUCCCUUUUCCUCGCACAGUGGCUCCAGAGUGUGUGCUGAAUUUCAAGGUUUCAUGCUAGCCCAAAUGAUGUCAUAG